GCCCCGGUCGUCUAGCCCGGUCAUCCCGCCUGGGCCGUGAGGAUACCGGCCUCUCGAGCCGGAGAACCCGGGUUCAAAUCCCGGCCGGGGCACCA
Molecule: transfer RNA, 95 nt
Filed under: Thermofilum sp.
Lineage: Archaea; Thermoproteati; Thermoproteota; Thermoprotei; Thermofilales; Thermofilaceae
Description: tRNA-Glu
Rfam family: tRNA
About the family: Transfer RNA (tRNA) molecules are approximately 80 nucleotides in length.
Source: RNAcentral